RNAcentral lists this unclassified non-coding RNA (4694 nucleotides) under Polistes fuscatus (common paper wasp). Its description in RNAcentral is "serine/threonine-protein kinase D3, transcript variant X3". Lineage: Eukaryota; Metazoa; Arthropoda; Insecta; Hymenoptera; Vespidae. The record is from RNAcentral.
GAAUGGAUAACCAAAAAUAUUUGUCCAAUCUAUCUAGAAAGAUAAGAAUUUUUUAAAUCACACGCUUUUUGGUGACGUUGCUUUGGCAAGAUUUUGUUAUUGGUUCCCUUACACACAUGCAUACGAUUCAUGCGUAUAACAACCAUACUCUAUCUCUCUCUAUCUAUCUAUCUUUCUCACUAUUCACAGGUAUGUGUUUAAUAUAAAGGGGAUUCUAAAAUCCCCAAGCGUACCGAUAUCCAACAAAGUUAGGAUUAGCAUGUAACUUAAAUCUGUGUUAGUGACAUAUACAUGUCGCUCUAACGUAAAUCCAUUGAUUUGUUUUAAAAGUUAAACUAAACUAAAGGUACAACCUAAUGAUUAAUCGUAAUAAUAAAACAUUAUAAUAUUGAUUAAAAAUAUUAUUAUCUAUUUAAAAAUCGUACGUAUUCUAACCGAUAAUAACUGGGAAUGCUAAAAGUUUAUGUCAAGGUGGGUCGGUCAGAGAUAACUGUAAAAUGUCAUUGACGAAUGUGUGUCAGGCAUGGAGUUGACGCUCCUCGAUGACACUUGUGGAAACAAUCGACUCGAAAAUCCCGCAAUUUUCAAUUUAACUUGACUAAUUGAGGAAUACUCGAAUUUAAUACGAAUUCAAAACAAUUGUUUUUCUUCAAAAAUGCAUCCGAUACUCCCACAGCAAUACCAAGAGAUCUUCCAACUUUUUGACAGAUGUUUCAGUUAAUGACAGAUAUAGGAUUGAUCCUGAAUUUUCUAAUCAGCAUUACAUCCAUGUAUAGAAUAAAAACAAGUAAAAACAUGGAGGGACCAGAAGUUACAUUUCUAUUUCAAUUUGGUUUAACUCGUGACACAGUCACCGUAGAAGCUAGCACGUUGACGCUAAAAGCUUUAAAAGAUUUUGCGUGUAACUUUAUAAAUGCUAAGUGUCCGGAUCACGGGUUAAGUCAUCUGUACGAAAGAUUACUUCUGUUCAAGCAUGAUUAUAGUUCUACUAAUAUUUUACAAUUAAUAACCAAUGCGAUGGAUGUAGUAGAUGAAACACUAGUUGAAAUUGUUCUUACUGCUCAAGUGCCAAGCGAAGAUGUUCCCAUUCGUCCUCAUGCUUUAACGGUUCAUUCUUAUAAGGUUCCAACAUUUUGUGAUUUUUGCGGAGAGAUGCUGUUUGGUCUUGUGCGACAAGGUCUUAAGUGUGAAGGUUGCGGUAUGAAUUAUCAUAAACGCUGUGUUACUAAAGUACCUAAUAACUGUUCACAAGAUAGCAGUCAAAGGCGGCGUAGUUCUGCAAUGUUAAAUGUGCCAAGAUCACCAAGUCAAGGUUCUACAAGUAGCUUGACUAGCAUUAGUGAUGACAAUCAUAGUGCAAAUAACAUACCCAAUGUAAAUCAAAGUAAUAAUACUUUGGCAGUUCCAAGCAUAGUCACUCCUAAACAAUCUCGUUCACCGUCAUUGAGUGGAAAAACAACUUGGGUUGAAAAAGAGGUUGCAACUCGUAUCAAAAUUCCACAUACAUUCGUAUUGCACACGUACACACGUCCAACGGUGUGUGGGCAUUGUAAAAAAUUAUUAAGAGGCUUAUUCAAGCAAGGCCUACAAUGUAAAGAUUGUCAGUGCAAUGCUCACAAAAAAUGUAUUGACAAAAUUCCAAAAGAUUGUAUUGGAGAGAAUCCACGUGACAGUACUGGUAAUGAAUAUCCUGACAGUGGUGUUGGUAGCGAACCAGAAGGUAAAUGCGAUGGCAGAAAUGAAGAAGGUGAUGGAGACAGCGAUACAGAAUUACUUUUACCAGUUAAAUUGUCCACAUACAUAACGGAUGAAAAUAAAGCUCCUGAUGAGUAUACAGAUCACAUACAAACGAAUGAAGAUGUUAAUUACGAUGAAUUCCAAAAAUCCAGACCAUCUAGUUGCAGUUCUACUCCAAGUAACAACAUUCCAUUAAUGCGUAUAGUUCAGAGUGUUAAACAUACAAAACGACGUGGUUCGAAAGUUUUGAAAGAAGGUUGGAUGGUACACUUUACGAAUCGUGAUCCAGUGAGGAAAAAACAUUAUUGGCGACUGGAUACAAAGGCUAUAACACUUUUCCAAAGUGAUAGUAGUUCCAAGUAUUACAAAGAAAUUCCACUUGCUGAAAUUUUGUCGAUUGAAACAGCUAAGAUACAUCGUUCGCAUAUAAUGCAUUGCUUUGAGUUAAAAACAUCAACUGUUGAUUAUUUCGUCGGAGAAGAUCCUACAUAUGGUGAAAACAAUGGUCAAGUUCCAGCACCGGAAAGCGGCAUAGGUGUACACGUAGCUAGAUCAUGGGAAACUAAUAUUAGACAAGCACUUAUGCCAGUAACUACAGCUUCCACUAUAGCAGAUCAAGAGGAAUCUACAGAACCUGAAGAAAAUAUAACUGACAUGUCGCAACUCUAUCAAAUAUUUCCCGAUGAAGUUUUAGGAUCAGGACAAUUCGGUAUAGUUUAUGGUGGUGUACAUCGUAAAAGUGGUAGAGCAGUUGCCAUCAAAGUAAUAGAUAAAUUACGUUUUCCUACCAAACAAGAAGCGCAACUUAAGAAUGAAGUGGCUAUUUUACAAAAUCUAUCACACAGCGGGGUCGUCAAUUUGGAACGUAUGUUUGAGACACCAGAAAGAAUAUUUGUUGUUAUGGAGAAAUUGAAAGGUGAUAUGUUAGAGAUGAUAUUAAAUUCGGAGAAGGGACGUCUCAGUGAAAGAAUAACGAAAUUUCUUAUAACUCAAAUUUUGGUUGCUCUAAAGCAUUUACACAGUAAAAAUAUAGUCCAUUGCGAUUUAAAACCUGAAAACGUUUUACUCAGUAGUGACAAUGAAUUUACUCAAGUGAAACUUUGUGAUUUUGGUUUCGCACGAAUUAUCGGAGAAAAAAGUUUUCGGAGAAGUGUUGUCGGAACACCGGCGUAUUUAGCACCCGAAGUAUUGAGAAAUAAGGGCUACAAUCGUUCUUUGGAUAUGUGGAGCGUAGGAGUUAUUAUUUACGUAUCUUUAAGCGGUACAUUUCCAUUCAACGAGGAAGAAGAUAUCAACGAACAAAUUCAAAAUGCUGCAUUUAUGUAUCCGCCUACACCUUGGAAAGAAAUUUCAUCCGACGCUAUCGAUUUAAUUAACAAUUUAUUACAAGUAAAGCAAAGAAAGAGAUAUACGGUAGAUAAAAGUUUACAACAUGUUUGGUUGCAGGAUUAUCAAACAUGGUGUGAUUUAAGAGAAUUGGAAAAUAAAGUAGGAUACCGUUAUUUAACACAUGAGAGUGAUGAUGCACGUUGGACAGCAUACGGUGAUCAUUGCACAUGACAGAACCAUCCGCCUACUUUGAACAUCGAAUCAUUGCCAAUACCUUUGCCAAUACACAAAGGCUGGGUUCGUUGUGCUCGAGCGACACUGCGACGAUUCAUUCGUGCCUGAAUUGAUACAACAAGUGCAUGCAAAACAAAAAAUAUCAUAUUUAAACAAUUUUAAUUCAAAACGUAUAAUGUUGAACUAAUAGAUAUGACGAAAAAAAAAAAACGAAAAAAAAAAGAUAUUGCGAGACAAAAACGCAUCAUAAAGGCCUUUCCAGUCUUCGCACGCGCGAUAAUACUUCUUUUUUAUAAUAUAAUCGUCUCUCCGUACAAUUUUUCUAGCAUUCGAUGUUCGAAUAAUCGUAAGAGAAUAAUAAUAUCUCGCAUCGCGAUCGCGCUAUUUCAAAUAUUAAAUAUUAUUGAAACUAAGCUUUCAGCGCCUUACGUUGUUAAUACGCGUAUAUUGUUAUAAGAAAAAGUAGAAUUCAAAGCGAAAUGUGUUAGUAUAUAUAAUUAUUCAAGUAUUAUUACACACGAUCAAAAAUAAUAACUUCGAAACAAAUGGAGGAAAGAGCGUAUAAGAAAAAUAACAAAAAACAAAAAGAAAGAAAGGAAAAAUAAUGAAGAUAAAUCUAUUUGUACAAAUUUUUUGAAAAAGAAAAAGAAGGAGUCAAUAAGUUUGAAUUCCAUUUGAACGCGCAUAAUGUAACAAACAUUCCUCGUCACACACACAUUUACACAGACACCAUCUUUGUAAGUAUAAUUAUUAAUAAAUUAUAGAAGAGACAAAAAGCUAAUAAUAUUUGCAUGUAAGAUAUCAACAAAAAAACAAAAUGCUCAUAGCAUUUAAUAGAAAAAAAAUAAGAAAUGAGUGUAGAAAACUAUAUUCAAAACUUUAUUCAAACUAUACAUUGCGCGUGAUACGUGCAUGCAAGACGUUGCAUUCGCAGAGUUAAACUAUUUGAAUUGUUGAUAAAAAAGAAAAAAAAGAAGAGAAAAAAAGAAAAAAGAGAACAGUUUUGUAUAUCGAUAAACAAAAAAUAUAUAAAAAAAUAUUCUUAUCUCGCACGAAGCUAGAAUUGCGUGGUACUUAACUGCCAAACGAUUAUCUCAUUUUUAUUUUUAUUUCUCGUUGUAAUUCUACGUACUAAGAAAGUAAUAUAUACUUUCGUAAUAUUUUUUAUUAUUUGAUAGGACGAGAAAUGAAAUCGGUGAAAAAAACCGGCAGCUGAAAAAUUUGAUCUUUCGCGUACGUAAUAGAAUCUAUGUCAAAAAUAUAAUUUUUUUUUCUUACAAACAUUUGUGUAGCGUAACAGUAUUUUAUUAUAUUGUUUUUGCUUUAUCUUUUAUACAACAUAUGAUAUUGAGAUCUUUUUAGAACGCACACGAAUAAUAUUGAACAAAUGAAAA